CCUACGGGAGGCAGCAGUGGGGAAUAUUGGGCAAUGGGCGCAAGCCUGACCCAGCAACGCCGCGUGAAGGAAGAAGGCUUUCGGGUUGUAAACUUCUUUUCUCAGGGACGAAGAAAGUGACGGUACCUGAGGAAUAAGCCACGGCUAACUACGUGCCAGCAGCCGCGGUAAUACGUAGGUGGCAAGCGUUAUCCGGAUUUAUUGGGUGUAAAGGGCGUGUAGGCGGGAGCGUAAGUCAGAUGUGAAAACUCAGGGCUCAACCCUGAGCCUGCAUUUGAAACUGUGUUUCUUGAGUGCUGGGGAGGCAAUCGGAAUUCGGGGUGUAGCGGUGAAAUGCGUAGAUAUACGGAGGAACACCAGUGGCGAAGGCGGAUUGCUGGACAGUAACUGACGCUGAGGCGCGAAAGCGUGGGGAGCAAACAGGAUUAGAUACCCGGGUAGUC
This 443-nucleotide ribosomal RNA is filed under the name uncultured bacterium. RNAcentral's name for it is "partial 16S ribosomal RNA". It matches the Rfam family "Bacterial small subunit ribosomal RNA", at positions 338 to 795 of the family's 1533-position model. The record is from RNAcentral.